GCGGUCGUAGCUCAGUGGUAGAGCGCCGCGUUGUGGUCGCGGAUGUCGCGGGUUCAAACCCCGUCGAUCGCCCCA
This 75-nucleotide transfer RNA is filed under the name Alphaproteobacteria bacterium. RNAcentral's name for it is "tRNA-His". It matches the Rfam family "tRNA". From Rfam's summary of the family: Transfer RNA (tRNA) molecules are approximately 80 nucleotides in length. Their secondary structure includes four short double-helical elements and three loops (D, anti-codon, and T loops). The record is from RNAcentral. Lineage: Bacteria; Pseudomonadati; Pseudomonadota; Alphaproteobacteria.